GUGAGUAACAUGUGGGUAUCUACCCUUUGGCCUGGAAUAACACGAGGAAACUUGUGCUAAUACCGGAUAAGUCUUUACGGAGAAAGCUUUAUGCACCAUUGGAUGAGCCCGCACUUGAUUAGCUAGUUGGUAAGGUAAAAGCUUACCAAGGCAAUGAUCAAUAGCUGUUCUUAGAGGAAGACCAGCCACAUUGGGACUGAGACACGGCCCAGACUCCUACGGGAGGCAGCAGUGGGGAAUCUUGCACAAUGGGGGAAACCCUGAUGCAGCGAUGCCGCGUGAGUGAAGAAGGCCUUUGGGUUGUAAAACUCUUUCGUCGGGGAAGAAAAUGACUGUACCCGAAUAAGAAGGUCCGGCUAACUUCGUGCCAGCAGCCGCGGUAAUACGAAGGGACCUAGCGUAGUUCGGAAUUACUGGGCUUAAAGAGCUCGUAGGUGGUUAAAAAAGUUGAUGGUGAAAUCCCAAGGCUUAACCUUGGAACUGCCAUCAAAACUUUUUAGCUAGAGUGUGACAGAGGUAAGUGGAAUUUCUAGUGUAGAGGUGAAAUUCGUAGAUAUUAGAAAGAACACCAAAUGCGAAGGCAACUUACUGGGUCACUACUGACACUGAGGAGCGAAAGCAUGGGUAGCGAAGAGGAUUAGAUACCCUCGUAGUCCAUGCCGUAAACGAUGUGUGCUAGACGUUGGAAAUAUAUUC
This 696-nucleotide ribosomal RNA is filed under the name uncultured bacterium. RNAcentral's name for it is "bacterial SSU rRNA". It matches the Rfam family "Bacterial small subunit ribosomal RNA", at positions 106 to 840 of the family's 1533-position model. The record is from RNAcentral.